This 253-nucleotide ribosomal RNA is filed under the name uncultured bacterium. RNAcentral's name for it is "partial 16S ribosomal RNA". It matches the Rfam family "Bacterial small subunit ribosomal RNA", at positions 524 to 776 of the family's 1533-position model. The record is from RNAcentral.
UACGUAGGUGACUAGCGUUGUCCGGAUUUACUGGGCGUAAAGAGCGCGCAGGCGGUCGUUCAAGUCGAGUGUGAAAGCCCCCGGCUCAACUGGGGAGGGUCACUUGAUACUGAUCGACUCGAAGGCAGGAGAGGGAAGCGGAAUUCCCGGUGUAGUGGUGAAAUGCGUAGAUAUCUGGAGGAACACCGGUGGCGAAGGCGGCAUCCUGGACCAAUUCUGACACUGAGGAGCGAAAGCCAGGGGAGCAAACGGG